RNAcentral lists this ribosomal RNA (254 nucleotides) under uncultured bacterium. RNAcentral describes it as "partial 16S ribosomal RNA". It matches the Rfam family "Bacterial small subunit ribosomal RNA", at positions 524 to 776 of the family's 1533-position model. The record is from RNAcentral.
UACGGAGGGUGCAAGCGUUAUCCGGAUUCACUGGGUUUAAAGGGUGCGUAGGCGGGUAAGUAAGUCCGUGGUGAAAUCUCUGAGCUUAACUCAGAAACUGCCGUGGAUACUAUUUGCCUUGAAUAUUGUGGAGGUGAGCGGAAUAUGUCAUGUAGCGGUGAAAUGCUUAGAUAUGACAUAGAACACCAAUUGCGAAGGCAGCUCACUACACAAUCAUUGACGCUGAGGCACGAAAAGCGUGGGGAUCAAACAGG